Molecule: ribosomal RNA, 203 nt
Filed under: Pseudoalteromonas sp. SR45-1
Lineage: Bacteria; Pseudomonadati; Pseudomonadota; Gammaproteobacteria; Alteromonadales; Pseudoalteromonadaceae
Also listed under: 11 other names
Description: partial 16S ribosomal RNA
Rfam family: Bacterial small subunit ribosomal RNA
Source: RNAcentral
UUAAUUGAAGAGUUUGAUCAUGGCUCAGAUUGAACGCUGGCGGCAGGCCUAACACAUGCAAGUCGAGCGGUAACAGAGAGUAGCUUGCUACUUUGCUGACGAGCGGCGGACGGGUGAGUAAUGCUUGGGAACAUGCCUUGAGGUGGGGGACAACAGUUGGAAACGACUGCUAAUACCGCAUAAUGUCUACGGACCAAAGGGGG